This is a non-coding RNA of Camellia sinensis, 655 nucleotides long. The record is from RefSeq and is a predicted model, not a curated record. NCBI's taxonomy places the organism in Eukaryota, Viridiplantae, Streptophyta, Magnoliopsida, Ericales, Theaceae.
GCAUUUUUGAAAACAGGGUUCUUCCCCUCUCUCUCUCUCUCUCUCUCUCUUACACACACACACAUAAACACACAGAACCAAUCACCACCAAACCUCACCUCACUGCAGUCAUUCACCACCGUUGUUUACCGUAAGACGCACAUCGCCACCACACCACCGCAAAUCACAUUGCCACCGCUGCAAUACCAACAGGUUUUGUGUAUGAUACACUGAACAUGCUGAAUUUUGAUAUUACAAAAAAAUGUCUUGUCAAAGAGGGUUAGUGUCCAAUAAUUGCCAAAACUUAGAUUCAUGAAGCACUGCAACGAGCUAUAAUUGAUAGCAAUUCACAAGUGGGUAUAAUAUUUCACACAAUGGAUGUUGUGGAACCACCUCCAACAUACUUCAGAACCAACCACUUUACAAAUGCAUUUUAGGACAUUGUUGAUGCAUAUGGAUUGGUUUGGUUUUGAAGAAGUUGUUUGAAGAUGGUAUCGUGAAGCGCGAGGAUUUGUUUAUUACCUCCAAACUUUGAUUGAUGAUGUUGGCAUGGAUACAGUGAUGUUUUUGGGCCAAAUCGAUGAUGUUUGCAUGGGCGCAAUUUACAUUAUAUUUUUUGUUUAUGGAAAGCAUGUACACUUGAUAUGUUUUGUUAUUAAGUUUUUUUUAAUUUGAA